UACGAAGGGGGCUAGCGUUGCUCGGAAUUACUGGGCGUAAAGCGCACGUAGGCGGAUCGUUAAGUCGGGGGUGAAAUCCUGGAGCUCAACUCCAGAACUGCCUUCGAUACUGGCGAUCUCGAGUUCGGGAGAGGUGAGUGGAACUGCGAGUGUAGAGGUGAAAUUCGUAGAUAUUCGCAAGAACACCAGCGGCGAAGGCGGCGCUCUGGGCCGGUACUGACGCUGAGGAGCGAAAGCGUGGGGAGCAAACGGG
RNAcentral lists this ribosomal RNA (253 nucleotides) under uncultured bacterium. RNAcentral's name for it is "partial 16S ribosomal RNA". It matches the Rfam family "Bacterial small subunit ribosomal RNA", at positions 524 to 776 of the family's 1533-position model. The record is from RNAcentral.